GUGCUUGUUUCUGCAGUACAUAUUACUUAACUUGGAACGAUACAAAGGAGAUUAGCAUGGACCCUCCGCAAGGAUGUUAUGGAAAUUCAAAAAUGAUUCCAUAUUUUU
Pseudophryne corroboree (corroboree frog) is the source of this 108-nucleotide small nuclear RNA. The record is from RefSeq and is a predicted model, not a curated record. Lineage: Eukaryota; Metazoa; Chordata; Amphibia; Anura; Myobatrachidae.